GCAAGUCGAGCGCUACCUUCGGGUGGAGCGGCGGACGGGUUAGUAACGCGUGGGAACAUACCCAACUCUACGGAAUAGCCUUUGGAAACGAAGAGUAAUACCGUAUACGCCCUUCGGGGGAAAGAUUUAUCGGAAUUGGAUUAGCCCGCGUUAGAUUAGAUAGUUGGUGGGGUAAUGGCCUACCAAGUCUACGAUCUAUAGCUGGUUUGAGAGGAUGAUC
RNAcentral lists this ribosomal RNA (220 nucleotides) under uncultured bacterium. Its description in RNAcentral is "partial 16S ribosomal RNA". It matches the Rfam family "Bacterial small subunit ribosomal RNA", at positions 57 to 305 of the family's 1533-position model. The record is from RNAcentral.